Non-coding RNA from Podarcis lilfordi (Lilford's wall lizard), 68 nucleotides. NCBI's taxonomy places the organism in Eukaryota, Metazoa, Chordata, Lepidosauria, Squamata, Lacertidae. The record is from the annotation of a GenBank genome assembly.
GGAACUCAGUUGGUUAGUGUGUGGUGCUAAGAACUCCAAGGUUGCAGGUUCGAUCCCUGUAAGGGACA